CAGCACCCUCCUCAAGUUAGACUCCCUGCGAUUGCCUCCUGAGUCCCACAUGAUACCCAGCCACCCCCCUCCCGCAUGUUCCCCGCUCCCCUUCCCGCGAUUGUAUCCUACAUGUUGUUACCCUUCUGCAUGUUGCACCCCCAUGGCGCGAUUGCCUCUCGCAUGUUACCGGCCCUCCUGCCUCCAGCGACUAGAUCCUCCCGCAUGUUAACAGCCCCCUACCCGCAACUGUCUCCUGCGACUACCUCCGGCAUGUUACCCCCCCCCCCACGAGUGCAUCCCUGAUGCCAGUCUGCUGAUGGAUCAGGCACCUGUGGGGACAUAUAAGAAAGAAAGCGGCACUGCUCCGUUGUGUCAGCACCUUAGAGAAGGCAAACAUGAGUUCAUCUCACUUAAAUUAUCCUGAUGUAUUUUGUUACAUUUAUGGCGAAUACACAUUGCUCAAGCAAAGAAAAGACAUCUCUGAAUUUGUGAAGCAAGCCUAUGUUGCAUAUUUUGGUAUAAAGCUUGGUGAUCAAGAUAAGCCCUGGGCUCCCCACAAAGUCUGUAAAACUUGCAUAGCCAAUCUUCGCCAGUGGACAUAUGGAAACAAAAAAAGUUUGAACUUCGGUGUGCCUAUGGUGUGGAGGAAACCCAAAAACCACUCUGAUGACUGAUAUUUUUGUGCUGUCAAUGUUAAAGGUUUCAAUAAACACAAGAAACAGAAAUGGGAAUACCCUGAUUUAAAAGUAGCGGUUUUUAAAGCAAUAAAUGUCAAAAGUUUACCAUGUUUAUAUGUUGUUUCAUUAAAUAAAUAUAAAUUUUGAGUGUC
Pseudophryne corroboree (corroboree frog) is the source of this 811-nucleotide long non-coding RNA. RefSeq lists it as uncharacterized. The record is from RefSeq and is a predicted model, not a curated record. Lineage: Eukaryota; Metazoa; Chordata; Amphibia; Anura; Myobatrachidae. The transcript has 2 exons.